CCUACGGGAGGCAGCAGUGGGGAAUUUUGCGCAAUGGGCGAAAGCCUGACGCAGCAACGCCGCGUGGAGGAUGAAGGUCCUUGGAUCGUAAACUCCUGUCAGCAGGGAAAAAGGCUCAUGGCCACACCAUGAGAUUGAUUGUACCUGCAGAGGAAGCCCCGGCUAACUCUGUGCCAGCAGCCGCGGUAAUACAGAGGGGGCAAGCGUUAUUCGGAAUUAUUGGGCGUAAAGGGCGCGUAGGCGGCGUCUCAAGUGGAUGGUGAAAUCCCCGGGCUUAACCUGGGAACUGCCGUCCAAACUGAGAUGCUUGAGUCCGGGAGAGGUAAGUGGAAUUCCCAGUGUAGCGGUGAAAUGCGUAGAUAUUGGGAGGAACACCAGUGGCGAAGGCGGCUCACUGGACCGGUACUGACGCUGAGGCGCGAAAGCGUGGGGGGCAAACAGGAUUAGAUACCCUGGUAGUCCACGCCGUAAACGAUGAGUGCUUGGUGUAGCGGGUAUCGACCCCUGCUGUGCCGAAGUCAACACAUUAAGCACUCCGCCUGGGGAGUACGGUCGCAAGACUGAAACUCAAAGGAAUUGACGGA
RNAcentral lists this ribosomal RNA (584 nucleotides) under uncultured bacterium. Its description in RNAcentral is "bacterial SSU rRNA". It matches the Rfam family "Bacterial small subunit ribosomal RNA", at positions 338 to 917 of the family's 1533-position model. The record is from RNAcentral.